Molecule: ribosomal RNA, 488 nt
Filed under: uncultured bacterium
Lineage: Bacteria
Description: partial 16S ribosomal RNA
Rfam family: Bacterial small subunit ribosomal RNA
Source: RNAcentral
UGAACGCUAGCUACAGGCUUAACACAUGCAAGUCGAGGGGCAGCAUGGUCUUAGCUUGCUAAGGCCGAUGGCGACCGGCGCACGGGUGAGUAACACGUAUCCAACCUGCCGUCUACUCUUGGACAGCCUUCUGAAAGGAAGAUUAAUACAAGAUGGCAUCAUGAGUCCGCAUGUUCACAUGAUUAAAGGUAUUCCGGUAGACGAUGGGGAUGCGUUCCAUUAGAUAGUAGGCGGGGUAACGGCCCACCUAGUCUUCGAUGGAUAGGGGUUCUGAGAGGAAGGUCCCCCACAUUGGAACUGAGACACGGUCCAAACUCCUACGGGAGGCAGCAGUGAGGAAUAUUGGUCAAUGGGCGAGAGCCUGAACCAGCCAAGUAGCGUGAAGGAGGACUGCCCUAUGGGUUGUAAACUUCUUUUAUAAAGGAAUAAAGUCGGGUAUGGAUACCCGUUUGCAUGUACUUUAUCAAUAAGGAUCGGCUAACUCCGUG